This 427-nucleotide ribosomal RNA is filed under the name uncultured bacterium. RNAcentral describes it as "partial 16S ribosomal RNA". It matches the Rfam family "Bacterial small subunit ribosomal RNA", at positions 355 to 774 of the family's 1533-position model. The record is from RNAcentral.
UGGGGAAUAUUGGACAAUGGGCGAAAGCCUGAUCCAGCCAUGCCGCGUGUGUGAAGAAGGUCUUCGGAUUGUAAAGCACUUUAAGUUGGGAGGAAGGGCAUUAACCUAAUACGUUAGUGUUUUGACGUUACCGACAGAAUAAGCACCGGCUAACUCUGUGCCAGCAGCCGCGGUAAUACAGAGGGUGCAAGCGGUAAUCGGAAUUACGGGGCGUAAAGCGCGCUUAGGUGGUUUGUUAAGUUGGAUGUGAAAUCCCCGGGCUCAACCUGGGAACUGCAUUCAAAACUGACUGACUAGAGUAUGGUAGAGGGUGGUGGAAUUUCCUGUGUAGCGGUGAAAUGCGUAGAUAUAGGAAGGAACACCAGUGGCGAAGGCGACCACCUGGACUAAUACUGACACUGAGGUGCGAAAGCGUGGGGAGCAAACA